ACUCACUAACUAACAUUAACCACAGGGUAGUUGUCAUGUAUAAGAAACUUGGAUGUUGAAAAAUGAUUAAAACAAAUAGAAAGAGUUAAAUGUAACAGGUGAUAAUUACGUGUAAUAAUUAUAUCUAACGAGGUGUUUACUGAAACUGAAUCAGUGUAAUCUACUUGUUUCUUUCUUUAGAUAAAGUAAAGCUAACUGAGGUAAUAAGCAGAGUGAAGUGGGAGCUCACAGCUCUUCUUUAAAUGGAGUGACGCCCCCUGGUGUUCAGUGCUCAGUACAACAGCCCCUCCCUCCCUGAUCUCUCAGUCAGACUGUGUGGAACAUUUAUUUCUCUCAGUUUUCUCAGUGUUGGUUGAAUGUUUUCUAAUGUUGUCAGUGAUUGAGGCUGUGAUUUAUUGGGAUGUUGCUCAUGUUGACACAGUGUCAGUAAACUGGUGGUGGGACAGUAACAGUCACUGACCUGAUGUAUAAAGAUCAUUAGCAUCAGUUUGUACAGAGGAUGUUACAGACACUGAACUCAGACACACUGUAGAAAUAUUCUGAAUCCAACUUUCACACCUCAGAGUUUCUGAAGAGUCCACUCAUGAAAUCUGACCCACUUUGAUUUGAUUUCUACUUUGGUUUCUUCAUGUGUCUUCAUGCUUGGAAUGACUAGUUCACAUCUGUCAGACCACAGAAACAUCUGGAUCCUCUAAUGUUGGACUUUAUCUGUGAAGCAGCCAUAUUUGAGUGAAUUCACUAUAUUGUGUUGUUCCACAUGAAAUCACGUCCUGAUUGAUGCAGUUUUCUGUGAAUCCUGAAUAAAAUCUGCUUGAUGAAAAGAG
Long non-coding RNA from Seriola dumerili (greater amberjack), 824 nucleotides. RefSeq lists it as uncharacterized. The transcript is spliced from 2 exons. NCBI's taxonomy places the organism in Eukaryota, Metazoa, Chordata, Actinopteri, Carangiformes, Carangidae. The record is from RefSeq and is a predicted model, not a curated record.